Molecule: transfer RNA, 85 nt
Filed under: Felis catus (domestic cat)
Lineage: Eukaryota; Metazoa; Chordata; Mammalia; Carnivora; Felidae
Also listed under: 3 other names
Rfam family: tRNA
About the family: Transfer RNA (tRNA) molecules are approximately 80 nucleotides in length. Their secondary structure includes four short double-helical elements and three loops (D, anti-codon, and T loops). Further hydrogen bonds mediate the characteristic L-shaped molecular structure. tRNAs have two regions of fundamental functional importance: the anti-codon, which is responsible for specific mRNA codon recognition, and the 3' end, to which the tRNAs corresponding amino acid is attached (by aminoacyl-tRNA synthetases). tRNAs cope with the degeneracy of the genetic code in two manners: having more than one tRNA (with a specific anti-codon) for a particular amino acid; and 'wobble' base-pairing, i.e. permitting non-standard base-pairing at the 3rd anti-codon position.
Source: Rfam by way of RNAcentral
GCCUGGUUGGCUCAGUCGGUUAAGCAUCUGACUUAGGCUCAGGUCAUGAUCUCGCUGUCUGUGACUUCAAGCCUUGCACUGGGCU